Molecule: microRNA precursor, 101 nt
Filed under: Cucumis melo (muskmelon)
Lineage: Eukaryota; Viridiplantae; Streptophyta; Magnoliopsida; Cucurbitales; Cucurbitaceae
Description: miR166a stem-loop (cme-MIR166a)
Gene: cme-MIR166a
Rfam family: mir-166 microRNA precursor family
About the family: This family represents the plant microRNA (miRNA) precursor mir-166. Animal miRNAs are transcribed as ~70nt precursors and subsequently processed by the Dicer enzyme to give a ~22nt product.
Source: miRBase by way of RNAcentral
UUGAGGGGAAUGCUGUCUGGUUCGAGACCGUUUAUCUGAUAUCUGUCAUGUUUCCAUGGUGAGAACGAUCUCGGACCAGGCUUCAUUCCCCCCAACUCGAA